GGGGGUGUAGCUCAGAGGUAGAGUGCUUGCCUUGCAUGCAUGAGGACCUAGGUUAGAUCCCUAUUGUCACAA
This 72-nucleotide transfer RNA is filed under the name Ictidomys tridecemlineatus (thirteen-lined ground squirrel). RNAcentral describes it as "Spermophilus tridecemlineatus (thirteen-lined ground squirrel) tRNA". It matches the Rfam family "tRNA". From Rfam's summary of the family: Transfer RNA (tRNA) molecules are approximately 80 nucleotides in length. Their secondary structure includes four short double-helical elements and three loops (D, anti-codon, and T loops). Lineage: Eukaryota; Metazoa; Chordata; Mammalia; Rodentia; Sciuridae. The record is from Rfam by way of RNAcentral.